AGAAAUGGAGUAUGCUCCUCCAAUCCUGUCCCUGAAUGCUAAGUUCCCGGGGAACUCCCAUGAUGCCCAUGUCAUUAGACAAUCAGGGAUAUGGCACAGAUUAAGAUCGAUGGAAAGACAAGACAUGUGGUUAUUGGGAGACCGUGGAUAUCCUUGCACCCCCUGGCUCAUGACUCCUUACAGUAAGCCCAGGCCAGGACCACAGACGGCAUUUAACUCCGCGCUUACUGCCACUAGACAGCUGGUGGAGCGCACGAUUGGUGUCCUUAAAGGACGCUUUCGUGUGC
Pseudophryne corroboree (corroboree frog) is the source of this 287-nucleotide long non-coding RNA. RefSeq lists it as uncharacterized. The transcript has 3 exons. The record is from RefSeq and is a predicted model, not a curated record. NCBI's taxonomy places the organism in Eukaryota, Metazoa, Chordata, Amphibia, Anura, Myobatrachidae.